RNAcentral lists this ribosomal RNA (2931 nucleotides) under Escherichia coli. RNAcentral's name for it is "23S ribosomal RNA". It matches the Rfam family "Bacterial large subunit ribosomal RNA". Lineage: Bacteria; Pseudomonadati; Pseudomonadota; Gammaproteobacteria; Enterobacterales; Enterobacteriaceae. The record is from RNAcentral.
GGGUUGUGAGGUUAAGCGACUAAGCGUACACGGUGGAUGCCCUGGCAGUCAGAGGCGAUGAAGGACGUGCUAAUCUGCGAUAAGCGUCGGUAAGGUGAUAUGAACCGUUAUAACCGGCGAUUUCCGAAUGGGGAAACCCAGUGUGUUUCGACACACUAUCAUUAACUGAAUCCAUAGGUUAAUGAGGCGAACCGGGGGAACUGAAACAUCUAAGUACCCCGAGGAAAAGAAAUCAACCGAGAUUCCCCCAGUAGCGGCGAGCGAACGGGGAGCAGCCCAGAGCCUGAAUCAGUGUGUGUGUUAGUGGAAGCGUCUGGAAAGGCGCGCGAUACAGGGUGACAGCCCCGUACACAAAAAUGCACAUGCUGUGAGCUCGAUGAGUAGGGCGGGACACGUGGUAUCCUGUCUGAAUAUGGGGGGACCAUCCUCCAAGGCUAAAUACUCCUGACUGACCGAUAGUGAACCAGUACCGUGAGGGAAAGGCGAAAAGAACCCCGGCGAGGGGAGUGAAAAAGAACCUGAAACCGUGUACGUACAAGCAGUGGGAGCACGCUUCGGCGUGUGACUGCGUACCUUUUGUAUAAUGGGUCAGCGACUUAUAUUCUGUAGCAAGGUUAACCGAAUAGGGGAGCCGAAGGGAAACCGAGUCUUAACUGGGCGUUAAGUUGCAGGGUAUAGACCCGAAACCCGGUGAUCUAGCCAUGGGCAGGUUGAAGGUUGGGUAACACUAACUGGAGGACCGAACCGACUAAUGUUGAAAAAUUAGCGGAUGACUUGUGGCUGGGGGUGAAAGGCCAAUCAAACCGGGAGAUAGCUGGUUCUCCCCGAAAGCUAUUUAGGUAGCGCCUCGUGAAUUCAUCUCCGGGGGUAGAGCACUGUUUCGGCAAGGGGGUCAUCCCGACUUACCAACCCGAUGCAAACUGCGAAUACCGGAGAAUGUUAUCACGGGAGACACACGGCGGGUGCUAACGUCCGUCGUGAAGAGGGAAACAACCCAGACCGCCAGCUAAGGUCCCAAAGUCAUGGUUAAGUGGGAAACGAUGUGGGAAGGCCCAGACAGCCAGGAUGUUGGCUUAGAAGCAGCCAUCAUUUAAAGAAAGCGUAAUAGCUCACUGGUCGAGUCGGCCUGCGCGGAAGAUGUAACGGGGCUAAACCAUGCACCGAAGCUGCGGCAGCGACGCUUAUGCGUUGUUGGGUAGGGGAGCGUUCUGUAAGCCUGCGAAGGUGUGCUGUGAGGCAUGCUGGAGGUAUCAGAAGUGCGAAUGCUGACAUAAGUAACGAUAAAGCGGGUGAAAAGCCCGCUCGCCGGAAGACCAAGGGUUCCUGUCCAACGUUAAUCGGGGCAGGGUGAGUCGACCCCUAAGGCGAGGCCGAAAGGCGUAGUCGAUGGGAAACAGGUUAAUAUUCCUGUACUUGGUGUUACUGCGAAGGGGGGACGGAGAAGGCUAUGUUGGCCGGGCGACGGUUGUCCCGGUUUAAGCGUGUAGGCUGGUUUUCCAGGCAAAUCCGGAAAAUCAAGGCUGAGGCGUGAUGACGAGGCACUACGGUGCUGAAGCAACAAAUGCCCUGCUUCCAGGAAAAGCCUCUAAGCAUCAGGUAACAUCAAAUCGUACCCCAAACCGACACAGGUGGUCAGGUAGAGAAUACCAAGGCGCUUGAGAGAACUCGGGUGAAGGAACUAGGCAAAAUGGUGCCGUAACUUCGGGAGAAGGCACGCUGAUAUGUAGGUGAAGUCCCUCGCGGAUGGAGCUGAAAUCAGUCGAAGAUACCAGCUGGCUGCAACUGUUUAUUAAAAACACAGCACUGUGCAAACACGAAAGUGGACGUAUACGGUGUGACGCCUGCCCGGUGCCGGAAGGUUAAUUGAUGGGGUCAGCGCAAGCGAAGCUCUUGAUCGAAGCCCCGGUAAACGGCGGCCGUAACUAUAACGGUCCUAAGGUAGCGAAAUUCCUUGUCGGGUAAGUUCCGACCUGCACGAAUGGCGUAAUGAUGGCCAGGCUGUCUCCACCCGAGACUCAGUGAAAUUGAACUCGCUGUGAAGAUGCAGUGUACCCGCGGCAAGACGGAAAGACCCCGUGAACCUUUACUAUAGCUUGACACUGAACAUUGAGCCUUGAUGUGUAGGAUAGGUGGGAGGCUUGGAAGUGUGGACGCCAGUCUGCAUGGAGCCGACCUUGAAAUACCACCCUUUAAUGUUUGAUGUUCUAACGUUGACCCGUGAUCCGGGUUGCGGACAGUGUCUGGUGGGUAGUUUGACUGGGGCGGUCUCCUCCUAAAGAGUAACGGAGGAGCACGAAGGUUGGCUAAUCCUGGUCGGACAUCAGGAGGUUAGUGCAAUGGCAUAAGCCAGCUUGACUGCGAGCGUGACGGCGCGAGCAGGUGCGAAAGCAGGUCAUAGUGAUCCGGUGGUUCUGAAUGGAAGGGCCAUCGCUCAACGGAUAAAAGGUACUCCGGGGAUAACAGGCUGAUACCGCCCAAGAGUUCAUAUCGACGGCGGUGUUUGGCACCUCGAUGUCGGCUCAUCACAUCCUGGGGCUGAAGUAGGUCCCAAGGGUAUGGCUGUUCGCCAUUUAAAGUGGUACGCGAGCUGGGUUUAGAACGUCGUGAGACAGUUCGGUCCCUAUCUGCCGUGGGCGCUGGAGAACUGAGGGGGGCUGCUCCUAGUACGAGAGGACCGGAGUGGACGCAUCACUGGUGUUCGGGUUGUCAUGCCAAUGGCACUGCCCGGUAGCUAAAUGCGGAAGAGAUAAGUGCUGAAAGCAUCUAAGCACGAAACUUGCCCCGAGAUGAGUUCUCCCUGACUCCUUGAGAGUCCUGAAGGAACGUUGAAGACGACGACGUUGAUAGGCCGGGUGUGUAAGCGCAGCGAUGCGUUGAGCUAACCGGUACUAAUGAACCGUGAGGCUUAACCUUACAACGCCGAAGGUGUUU